Herpailurus yagouaroundi (jaguarundi) is the source of this 981-nucleotide long non-coding RNA. RefSeq lists it as uncharacterized. NCBI's taxonomy places the organism in Eukaryota, Metazoa, Chordata, Mammalia, Carnivora, Felidae. The record is from RefSeq and is a predicted model, not a curated record. The transcript is spliced from 4 exons.
GACGGGUCCCCUUACCGGGCCAGAGGGAGCAGACUCAUCAAGACUUUGUGCCUCAGGAGGUCCCGGUGCAGCUCCUGGAAAUGACGGAAUUUCUUCUUGGUUGUCCAGGUGAAGACCCAGAAGAAUUGAAAGCACGCGGGCGCACAGAGACCUGCACGCGGUAGUACUCAACUAGCCAAACCGUGGGAACAACCCAACGUCCCUCAGCUGCUGAAUGGGCAGACAAAACAUGGUGGUUCCUCCAAGAAUACCAGUGAGUCCCCAGCAGCAUCCAGGCUGGAAGCAAGCUGUCAGCGGAUUUUCACGGCUCCUGUCGGUGGCCCCAGCCCCUCUGUGUCUGUCUCUGCCACCUCCCCCCUCCCAGUGGCCUCCUGCUUCUCCCUGGAGAUCAGAGAGGGCUCCCAAAUUAAGGGGGCGCGACAGGAUAGGUGUCUGAAUGGGGUAUCCGUCCACCUCUUCCCUCCUCCCUCUCCUCCUCCUUCCAUCCCCUGGCGCCUAUAAUCACCAGGCGGUCUGAGGCUAAGUGGUAGUUUGGCCCACAGUGGGGGGGCUUGCCAGCCACACCCCUCCUCCUGGGGCCCUCCUGACCAGUCCCGGCACCCUGGUCUCCUCCACUGGUGAGAUGGGUCUCAAGGGGGCAUGGUGUUUCCCAUGGUGUGGGUGCCGGAGGCAGCAGAGGACUGGAAGAGGAGCAGGCCUGGAUUCCGCUGCCCCUCCAGACCCAAACCCCAGCCAGGCUGAAGCCCCCACCGUGGCUGAGGGAGGGAUACCCUCCCUAGGGUCUGGCGCCUACUUCAGCAGGAAGGCCCGACUCUCCUUCCGCCACCAGCUGCACGACCCGGCGACGGCCAAUGACUCCACCAUUUGAUGGGGACGACCGGGGGCUGAACUUUGCAACCUUCCCUCCCCAGACUUCUGGGUGAUCCCUGUUUGGCCCCACAGCCCCCACGACCUUGUCAUUAAAUAUACUCAGAGCUGCCA